ACCCUGAUAGUAUAAUGGAUAGAAUAUGUGGCUACGAACCACAAGAUGGGGGUUCGACUCCCUUUCAGGGUG
Molecule: transfer RNA, 72 nt
Filed under: Bacilli bacterium
Lineage: Bacteria; Bacillati; Bacillota; Bacilli
Description: tRNA-Arg
Rfam family: tRNA
About the family: Transfer RNA (tRNA) molecules are approximately 80 nucleotides in length. Their secondary structure includes four short double-helical elements and three loops (D, anti-codon, and T loops). Further hydrogen bonds mediate the characteristic L-shaped molecular structure. tRNAs have two regions of fundamental functional importance: the anti-codon, which is responsible for specific mRNA codon recognition, and the 3' end, to which the tRNAs corresponding amino acid is attached (by aminoacyl-tRNA synthetases). tRNAs cope with the degeneracy of the genetic code in two manners: having more than one tRNA (with a specific anti-codon) for a particular amino acid; and 'wobble' base-pairing, i.e. permitting non-standard base-pairing at the 3rd anti-codon position.
Source: RNAcentral